Phragmites australis (common reed) is the source of this 504-nucleotide long non-coding RNA. RefSeq lists it as uncharacterized. NCBI's taxonomy places the organism in Eukaryota, Viridiplantae, Streptophyta, Magnoliopsida, Poales, Poaceae. The record is from RefSeq and is a predicted model, not a curated record. The transcript is spliced from 2 exons.
GGAAAAAGGUGAGGUGAAGCGUUCAAAGCCGAAGGUGGUAAGCCGUGUUAAGUGGCUGCUGGUUUUGCCAAAUCAGGCGGCUAAGCUACAGACAAGUCUUGUACGCUGUCGAAAGGUUGGAAUCGAAUCAUUCAUCCAGCAGUAGAUGCAUAAUCCGGAGCUGAAAAGCAAAAUAGAGGUCAAGUAGCAGCGAAGCACGGAAUCCCCAGCAAGUGAAGGAUCCGAUUUACUACUCAAGUAGCUAGAUGCAGCAGCCUAGCAAGUAAGGAGGAGGAGGAGGAGGAGGCACAUCUGAACGGAAUUUGGUGCAAGGGGGAGAGAGAUCCGUGACUGGAUUGGGAAUUGGGGAAGCAGAGGGUCGGGAGCAACUGGAGUAGUUAGUAAUUACUGGGUCGGAUGCGACGAGUCUGGCCAUGCGGUCGGCGACGUCGACGGCGUGGCGGGAGCCGGCCCAUGCGACCUUCAUCUGUUCGACGUCGAACUGCGCGGUGGCCCUCUCGGCGG